RNAcentral lists this ribosomal RNA (301 nucleotides) under uncultured bacterium. Its description in RNAcentral is "partial 16S ribosomal RNA". It matches the Rfam family "Bacterial small subunit ribosomal RNA", at positions 509 to 807 of the family's 1533-position model. The record is from RNAcentral.
CAGCAGCCACGGGAAUACGGAGGGUGCAAGCGUUAUCCGGAUUUAUUGGGUUUAAAGGGUCCGUAGGCGGAUCUGUAAGUCAGUGGUGAAAUCUCACAGCUUAACUGUGAAACUGCCAUUGAUACUGCAGGUCUUGAGUAAAUUUGAAGUGGCUGGAAUAAGUAGUGUAGCGGUGAAAUGCAUAGAUAUUACUUAGAACACCAAUUGCGAAGGCAGGUCACUAAGAUUUAACUGACGCUGAUGGACGAAAGCGUGGGGAGCGAACAGGAUUAGAUACCCGAGUAGUCCCUGUCUCUUAUAC